RNAcentral lists this ribosomal RNA (524 nucleotides) under uncultured Acidobacteriota bacterium. RNAcentral's name for it is "bacterial SSU rRNA". It matches the Rfam family "Bacterial small subunit ribosomal RNA", at positions 355 to 897 of the family's 1533-position model. The record is from RNAcentral. Lineage: Bacteria; Pseudomonadati; Acidobacteriota.
UGGGGAAUCUUGCACCAUGGGGGAAACCCUGAUGCAGCGACGCCGCGUGAGCGAUGAAGCCCUUCGGGGUGUAAAGCUCUUUCGGCAGGGACGAUAAUGACGGUACCUGAAGAAGAAGCUGCGGCUAACUACGUGCCAGCAGCCGCGGUAAUACGUAGGCAGCGAGCGUUGUUCGGAGUUACUGGGCGUAAAGCGUGCGUAGGCGGUGGACCAAGUCUGGUGUGAAAUCUCCCGGCUUAACUGGGAGGGUGCGCCGGAAACUGGUUUGCUGGAGUGCGGGAGAGGCAGGCGGAAUUCCAGGUGUAGCGGUGAAAUGCGUAGAUAUCUGGAGGAACACCCGUGGUGCAGACGGCCUGCUGGACCGUAACUGACGCUGAGGCACGAAAGCGUGGGUAGCAAACAGGAUUAGAUACCCUGGUAGUCCACGCCCUAAACGAUGCAUAUUUGGUGUGGGCAGUUCAGUCUGUCCGUGCCGAAGCUAACGCGAUAAAUAUGCCGCCUGGGGAGUACGGUCGCAAGGCUGA